This 429-nucleotide ribosomal RNA is filed under the name uncultured bacterium. Its description in RNAcentral is "bacterial SSU rRNA". It matches the Rfam family "Bacterial small subunit ribosomal RNA", at positions 917 to 1349 of the family's 1533-position model. The record is from RNAcentral.
GGGCCCGCACAAGCGGUGGAGUAUGUGGUUUAAUUCGAUGCAACGCGAAGAACCUUACCAGGGUUUGGCAUCCUGCGAAUCUCUUGGAAACGAGAGAGUGCCUUCAGGAACGCAGUGACAGGUGGUGCAUGGCUGUCGUCAGCUCGUGUCGUGAGAUGUUGGGUUAAGUCCCGCAACGAGCGCAACCCACGUCUUUAGUUGCCAGCAUUUAGUUGGGCACUCUAGAGAGACUGCCGGUGAUAAACCGGGGAAGGUGUGGAUGACGUCAAGUCAUCAUGCCCCUUAAUCCUGGGCUACACACGUACUACAAUGCUACGGACAAAGGGCUGCAAGUUCGCGAGGACAAGCAAAUCCCAUAAACCGUGGCUCAGUUCAGAUCGUAGGCUGCAACUCGCCUACGUGAAGGCGGAAUCGCUAGUAAUCGCAGGU